Gossypium arboreum is the source of this 452-nucleotide long non-coding RNA. RefSeq lists it as uncharacterized. The record is from RefSeq and is a predicted model, not a curated record. NCBI's taxonomy places the organism in Eukaryota, Viridiplantae, Streptophyta, Magnoliopsida, Malvales, Malvaceae. The transcript has 2 exons.
AUAAUAAACAAAUAAUAAUAAUAAAAAAAUCAAAGAUUUCUCCCUUUUCACAACUAAACCUAAAAGCUUUAAGGGUUUAUUCCUUUCCCUUUUCUUCUCCUGGAAAAACCUUCGUCACACCACCGGACCACCACCAUUCUUGGUGGCCAGCGACGCACGAAAAUGAACCUUUCGACCCUGUUCCAAGGUACAGCUAAAGGGUGGCGCGUGUGGAGGUCGUUGUGGAGGUGGCUUGCGGUAGUCGAAAGUUAGUGUUACCCAUGUUGAAAAUUUAUUUAUUUUUUGGGCCAUUCGGGCCUAAGUUUUUAAUCAUUUUGGGCUUGUAUUUGGGUAAGGUUUGGUCUGUGAAAAACAGGCCAAUUGGGCCGUGUUUAUUUGGGUUUUGUAAUGUUGGGACUUUGGACCUUAUUUUGUUUUAUAGUUUAUGCCCGGGCAGAUUGGGCCUCUUACAA